GGGCCCGCACAAGCGGUGGAGCAUGUGGUUUAAUUCGAUGAUACGCGAGGAACCUUACCAGGGCUUAAAUGCAGAACGACAGAGGUGGAAACACCUCCUUCUUCGGACGGUCUGCAAGGUGCUGCAUGGUUGUCGUCAGCUCGUGCUGUGAAGUGUCGGGUUAAGUCCCAUAACGAGCGCAACCCCUAUUUCUAGUUGCCAGCGGUUCGGCCGGGGACUCUAGAGAAACUGCCAGCGUAAGCUGUGAGGAAGGUGGGGAUGACGUCAAAUCAUCACGGCCCUUACGUCCUGGGCUACACACGUGCUACAAUGGUAGGGACAGAGGGCUGCAAACCAGCGAUGGGAGCUAAUCCGACAAACCUAGUCGUAGUCCGGAUUGGAGUCUGCAACUCGACUCCAUGAAGUCGGAAUUGCUAGUAAUCG
This 423-nucleotide ribosomal RNA is filed under the name uncultured bacterium. RNAcentral's name for it is "bacterial SSU rRNA". It matches the Rfam family "Bacterial small subunit ribosomal RNA", at positions 917 to 1344 of the family's 1533-position model. The record is from RNAcentral.